GACGAACCGAGCGAACGUUGUUCGGAAUCACUGGGCUUAAAGGGCGCGUAGGCGGGUGGUCAAGUCCGGGGUGAAAUCCUCCAGCUCAACUGGAGAACUGCCUCGGAUACUGGGUGCCUCGAGGGUGGUAGGGGUAUGCGGAACUAUCGGUGGAGCGGUGAAAUGCGUUGAUAUCGAUAGGAACUCCGGUGGCGAAGGCGGCAUACUGGACCACAUCUGACGCUGAGGCGCGAAAGCCAGGGGAGCAAACGGG
This 253-nucleotide ribosomal RNA is filed under the name uncultured bacterium. RNAcentral's name for it is "partial 16S ribosomal RNA". It matches the Rfam family "Bacterial small subunit ribosomal RNA", at positions 524 to 776 of the family's 1533-position model. The record is from RNAcentral.